Molecule: ribosomal RNA, 372 nt
Filed under: uncultured organism
Description: bacterial SSU rRNA
Rfam family: Bacterial small subunit ribosomal RNA
Source: RNAcentral
CGUAGGGAGCAAGCGUUGUCCGGAAUCAUUGGGCGUAAAGCGCGCGUAGGCGGCCCGGUAAGUCCGCUCUGAAAGUCAAAGGCUCAACCUUUGAAAGCGGGUGGAUACUGCCGGGCUAGAGUCCGGAAGAGGCGAGUGGAAUUCCUGGUGUAGCGGUGGAAUGCGCAGAUAUCAGGAGGAACACCAACGGCGAAGGCAGCUCGCUGGGACGGUACUGACGCUGAGGCGCGAAAGCGUGGGGAGCAAACAGGAUUAGAUACCCUGGUAGUCCACGCCGUAAACGAUGGGCAUUAGGUGUGGGAGGUGUCGACUCCUCCCGUGCCGGCGCUAACGCAUUAAAUGCCCCGCCUGGGGAGUACGGCCGCAAGGCUA